RNAcentral lists this ribosomal RNA (216 nucleotides) under Triticum aestivum (bread wheat). RNAcentral describes it as "partial small subunit ribosomal RNA". Lineage: Eukaryota; Viridiplantae; Streptophyta; Magnoliopsida; Poales; Poaceae. The record is from RNAcentral.
AUGAGGACGAAAGUAGCUUUCUUCCAACGGAUGAAGUUCCUAGUUGGUAAUGGUACCACUACUAGAUUCUGGGAGGAUACAUGGCUAGGGGAGAUGCCUUUGGCUUUGCAAUAUCCCUCCUUAUAUAAUAUUGUGCAACAUAAGGAGGAUUAUGUCGCCACAAUAUUAAACUCGAUACCGUUUAAUAUCCAAUUUAGGGCGGAUACAAUUCGCUGA